GCAUAUCAAUAAGCGGAGGAAAAGAAACCAACAGGGAUUGCCCUAGUAACGGCGAGUGAAGCGGCAACAGCUCAAAUUUGAAAUCUGGCGUCUUUGGCGUCCGAGUUGUAAUUUGCAGAGGGCGCUUUGGCAUUGGCAGCGGUCCAAGUUCCUUGGAACAGGACGUCACAGAGGGUGAGAAUCCCGUACGUGGUCGCUAGCCUUUACCGUGUAAAGCCCCUUCGACGAGUCGAGUUGUUUGGGAAUGCAGCUCUAAAUGGGAGGUAAAUUUCUUCUAAAGCUAAAUACUGGCCAGAGACCGAUAGCGCACAAGUAGAGUGAUCGAAAGAUGAAAAGCACUUUGGAAAGAGAGUUAAAAAGCACGUGAAAUUGUUGAAAGGGAAGCGCUUGCAGCCAGACUUGCCUGUAGUUGCUCAUCCGGGUUUUUACCCGGUGCACUCUUCUAUAGGCAGGCCAGCAUCAGUUUGGGCGGUUGGAUAAAGGUCUCUGUCAUGUACCUCCUUUCGGGGAGAACUUAUAGGGGAGACGACAUGCAACCAGCCUGGACUGAGGUCCGCG
Molecule: ribosomal RNA, 558 nt
Filed under: Epicoccum plurivorum
Lineage: Eukaryota; Fungi; Ascomycota; Dothideomycetes; Pleosporales; Didymellaceae
Description: eukaryotic LSU rRNA
Rfam family: Eukaryotic large subunit ribosomal RNA
Source: RNAcentral